Punica granatum (pomegranate) is the source of this 1099-nucleotide non-coding RNA. The record is from RefSeq and is a predicted model, not a curated record. NCBI's taxonomy places the organism in Eukaryota, Viridiplantae, Streptophyta, Magnoliopsida, Myrtales, Lythraceae.
GGAACUAUUCCAUUCCACUCGGCACUCUCCUUGACAUACAGAGUUUUUAGCUCACACGUUUAUCCAUCCUCCCUCUUCCUCAUUUUCUUCAUCUUCCUUCCUUUUCCUAUAUAAUCUUCUCAUCAAUCCCUUUCUCUGCAACACUUUCUUCCCCUGAUGAGAGUUCGGCAGCUCCCGAAGUUUUUUUCUCCGUCAAUCUUGUUUGGUGGACCAAUAUCAUGAUAGAGAUAUGAUCAGCCGAAGAUAAUCUUCUAUGAUAUGUUACAUGAUUCUAAUAAGAUCGAAGCAUCCGGUGGAACCAACAGCUGCUGGGAAGUUCAGAAAAUAGCAAUCUAUAUGUUGACAGAAGAGAGAGAGCACAACCCGCCAUCGGCUAAAGAGUCUUUGCCUUUGUUGGGAGUGUGCUUUCUCUUCUUCUGUCAUCAUCUUCACACAGCUGCUUGGAGAGAAUCGGCAGAAUGAACGGACAUGAUCUCUUCAGCUUAUAUGAAUUUCUUCCGAGAAAUACGAAUGAAAGAGACUGUUGUCGCCCUCUUCAACUCUUGCAAUGACAAAAAGUAACAACCCUUGAGAGUUUUUUCAGGUAAAUAGCAACUUCUUUUUGAGUUCCCGGUUUCUGCAUGACACAGUUUUCUUAGGAUGCUCACAGAUGAUCAAGUUAUGAUUUUCGUUAUAUGACGCCAUCAUGUGAUCGGCAGCAGCAGAGAAAAGGCCGGUGUUUCGGUUUUAUUAUAAAACAUUAUAAAAGAUGCAGAGAUGUGCUGGGCAAGAGGCAGGACAGAUCCAUUUCUCUGAUGUUGGAGGCGCCAUAAGUUGAUGUUUCAGCUCACUGCGAAGCAAGGAAUGUUGUUCUUCACUUAUGACUCGCUUAAUCAUCGGUUUUCGCAAUCAGAUAGACAUUGUUCGGACGGUUUUGCUAUCUAUCGAACGUUCUGGCGAUGCAGUAAAGUUAGAGGUAACUAGUCUAGUGACUGAUUUCCUGUUUUUGUGCUUCUCAUUUCUCCUGCAUUGUCUUCUCGUAUUUGUCGGGUAUACUGAGCCUGCUGCUCCUCAGUUUUCCUUUCUUUGUUACGAAUACGAACUUAAACACAUUCUAUGA